Molecule: ribosomal RNA, 465 nt
Filed under: uncultured bacterium
Lineage: Bacteria
Description: partial 16S ribosomal RNA
Rfam family: Bacterial small subunit ribosomal RNA
Source: RNAcentral
CCUACGGGUGGCAGCAGUGGGGAAUAUUGCGCAAUGGGCGAAAGCCUGACGCAGCGACGCCGCGUGAGGGAUGAAGGUCUUCGGAUCGUAAACCUCUGUCAGCAGGGAAGAACGGUCACUGUGCUAAUCAGCAGUGAAUUGACGGUACCUGCAACGGAAGCACCGGCUAACUCCGUGCCAGCAGCCGCGGUAAUACGGAGGGUGCGAGCGUUAAUCGGAAUUACUGGGCGUAAAGCGCUCGUAGGCGGUAUGUCAAGUCAAGGGUGAAAUCCCCGCGCUAAACGUGGGAACUGCCUUUGAAACUGGCAAACUGGAGUGUGUGAGAGGAUAGUGGAAGUCCAGGUGUAGGAGUGAAAUGCGUAGAUAUCUGGAGGAACAUCAGUGGCGAAGGCGACUAUCUGGCACAUAACUGACGCUGAGGAGCGAAAGCGUGGGUAGCAAACAGGAUUAGAUACCCGGGUAGUC